GUACACUCCUACGGGAGGCAGCAGUGGGGAAUUUUGGACAAUGGGCGCAAGCCUGAUCCAGCCAUGCCGCGUGCGGGAAGAAGGCCUUCGGGUUGUAAACCGCGUUUGUCAGGGAAGAAAAGGUUCUGGCUAAUACCUGGGACUCAUGACGGUACCUGAAGAAUAAGAACCGGCUAACUACGUGCCAGCAGCCGCGGUAAUACGUAGGGUGCAAGCGUUAAUCGGAAUUACUGGGCGUAAAGCGUGCGCAGGCGGUUAUGCAAGACAGAGGUGAAAUCCCCGGGCUCAACCUGGGAACUGCCUUUGUGACUGCAUGGCUAGAGUACGGUAGAGGGGGAUGGAAUUCCGCGUGUAUCAGUGAAAUGCGUAUAUAUGCGGGGGAACACCGAUGGCGAAGGCAAUCCCCUGGACCUGUACUGACGCUCAUGCACGAAAGCGUGGGGAGCAAACAGGAUUAGAAACCCUGGUAGUGCCAU
This 476-nucleotide ribosomal RNA is filed under the name uncultured organism. Its description in RNAcentral is "partial 16S ribosomal RNA". It matches the Rfam family "Bacterial small subunit ribosomal RNA", at positions 331 to 798 of the family's 1533-position model. The record is from RNAcentral.